This 496-nucleotide ribosomal RNA is filed under the name uncultured bacterium. RNAcentral describes it as "partial 16S ribosomal RNA". It matches the Rfam family "Bacterial small subunit ribosomal RNA", at positions 28 to 507 of the family's 1533-position model. The record is from RNAcentral.
GAUGAACGCUGGCGGCGUGCCUAAUACAUGCAAGUCGAGCGAACAGAUGAGGAGCUUGCUCCUCUGACGUUAGCGGCGGACGGGUGAGUAACACGUGGAUAACCUACCUAUAAGACUGGGAUAACUUCGGGAAACCGGAGCUAAUACCGGAUAAUAUAUUGAACCGCAUGGUUCAAUAGUGAAAGACGGUUUUGCUGUCACUUAUAGAUGGAUCCGCGCCGCAUUAGCUAGUUGGUAAGGUAACGGCUUACCAAGGCAACGAUGCGUAGCCGACCUGAGAGGGUGAUCGGCCACACUGAACUGAGACACAGUCCAGACUCCUACGGGAGGCAGCAGUAGGGAAUCUUCCGCAAUGGGCGAAAGCCUGACGGAGCAACGCCGCGUGAGUGAUGAAGGUCUUCGGAUCGUAAAACUCUGUUAUUAGGGAAGAACAAAUGUGUAAGUAACUAUGCACGUCUUGACGGUACCUAAUCAGAAAGCCACGGCUAACUACGUG